UUAUACCAAACACAGAGUACAAGCAAAAGACAUUAAAUAAUUUCACAACAAGAAAGGCAAAACGCUAAGGAAAUGGGGCCUAAAGGUGACACAAAAAGUGUGCCCACAAUGAAUGAAUAAGGAGGGGGGAAGUUGAUUUUUGCAGUAAGAGCUUUGAUUCUUUGCAGCAAAUACAAAGCCAAAGCCCCACCCCCCCACACUCUGAUGCUG
This 210-nucleotide long non-coding RNA is filed under the name Citrus sinensis (sweet orange). RNAcentral's name for it is "long non-coding RNA (CSIN_LNC001926)". The record is from RNAcentral. Lineage: Eukaryota; Viridiplantae; Streptophyta; Magnoliopsida; Sapindales; Rutaceae.